RNAcentral lists this ribosomal RNA (253 nucleotides) under uncultured bacterium. Its description in RNAcentral is "partial 16S ribosomal RNA". It matches the Rfam family "Bacterial small subunit ribosomal RNA", at positions 524 to 776 of the family's 1533-position model. The record is from RNAcentral.
UACGAAGGGGGCUAGCGUUGCUCGGAAUUACUGGGCGUAAAGGGCGCGUAGGCGGUGUGGCAAGUCAGGUGUGAAACCUCCAGGCUCAACUUGGAGCUUGCAUCUGAAACUGCCGUGCUAGAGUGUGGGAGAGGAGAGUGGAAUUCCUGGUGUAGCGGUGAAAUGCGUAGAUAUUGGGAAGAACACCGGUGGCGAAGGCGGCUCUCUGGACCGAGACUGACGCUGAGGCGCGAAAGCGUGGGGAGCAAACAGG